CCUACGGGUGGCAGCAGUGGGGAAUAUUGGGCAAUGGGCGCAAGCCUGAUCCAGCAACGCCGCGUGAAUGAAGAAGGCUUUCGGGUUGUAAACUUCUUUUCUGAGGGACGAAGAGAGUGACGGUACCUCAGGAAUAAGCCACGGCUAACUACGUGCCAGCAGCCGCGGUAAUACGUAGGUGGCAAGCGUUAUCCGGAUUUAUUGGGUGUAAAGGGCGUGUAGGCGGGAAAGCAAGUCAGAUGUGAAAACGCAGGGCUCAACCCUGGGCCUGCAUUUGAAACUGUUUUUCUUGAGUGCUGGAGAGGCAAUCGGAAUGCCGUGUGUAGCGGUGAAAUGCGUAGAUAUACGGAGGAACACCAGUGGCGAAGGCGGAUUGCUGGACAGUAACUGACGCUGAGGCGCGAAAGCGUGGGGAGCAAACAGGAUUAGAUACCCCAGUAGUC
Molecule: ribosomal RNA, 443 nt
Filed under: uncultured bacterium
Lineage: Bacteria
Description: partial 16S ribosomal RNA
Rfam family: Bacterial small subunit ribosomal RNA
Source: RNAcentral